AUGAUUAGGAGUUGGUAGUACUUGGCAUCAUACCAAGACUUCAUAGGAGUACCAUUAACACUAGGACUGACUGUGGCAGACAUUUCAUAUUCUUAUUUCUAGUGAUCCAUCCAGGUAAUUAAGGCUAGUAUCUAAGUUAUGUAUAGUAACUCAUACCCUGUCUGGGUAUCUAUUUAUUGUCAGUUACUCAGAUACUUUUAGGGGCUGCGGUAUUCCUCUAGCCAUAUUGGGGAACAUUAAAAAUAAAAUAAAUUAAAUAGUAUUAGUGAAGGAAAGCUUAUAUAAAAAAUAAAGUUGAA
Molecule: unclassified non-coding RNA, 299 nt
Filed under: Hevea brasiliensis (rubber tree)
Lineage: Eukaryota; Viridiplantae; Streptophyta; Magnoliopsida; Malpighiales; Euphorbiaceae
Source: RNAcentral